Molecule: ribosomal RNA, 301 nt
Filed under: uncultured bacterium
Lineage: Bacteria
Description: partial 16S ribosomal RNA
Rfam family: Bacterial small subunit ribosomal RNA
Source: RNAcentral
CAGUCGCCACGGUAAUACGUAGGGUGCAAGCGUUAAUCGGAAUUACUGGGCGUAAAGCGUGCGCAGGCGGUUAUAUAAGUCAGAUGUGAAAUCCCCGGGCUCAACCUGGGAACUGCAUUUGAGACUGUAUGGCUAGAGUGUGUCAGAGGGGGGUAGAAUUCCACGUGUAGCAGUGAAAUGCGUAGAUAUGUGGAGGAAUACCGAUGGCGAAGGCAGCCCCCUGGGAUAACACUGACGCUCAUGCACGAAAGCGUGGGGAGCAAACAGGAUUAGAUACCCGUGUAGUCCCUGUCUCUUAUAC